Molecule: non-coding RNA, 67 nt
Organism: Potamilus streckersoni
Lineage: Eukaryota; Metazoa; Mollusca; Bivalvia; Unionida; Unionidae
Source: the annotation of a GenBank genome assembly
GUGGCGUAGUGGUUAGAGCGUCCGCCAUGGAUGCGGAAAGUUGUGGGUUCGAUCCCCGGUCUAGUCA